RNAcentral lists this ribosomal RNA (407 nucleotides) under uncultured bacterium. RNAcentral describes it as "bacterial SSU rRNA". It matches the Rfam family "Bacterial small subunit ribosomal RNA", at positions 32 to 413 of the family's 1533-position model. The record is from RNAcentral.
AAUCAACGCUGGCGGCGUGCCUCAGACAUGCAAGUCGAACGCGAAAGUUUCCUUCGGGAGAUGAGUAGAGUGGCGCACAGGUGAGUAACACGUGAGUAAUUUACCUUCGGGUGGGGAAUACUAACCGGAAACGGUUGUUAAUACCGCAUAAUGCAGCGGCAUCAAUGAUGACAGUUGUUAAAGCGGGGGAUUGGAGCAAUCCGACCUCGCGCCUGAAGAGAAGCNCGCGGCAGAUUAGCUAGUUGGUAAGGUAAUGGCUUACCAAGGCGACGAUCUGUAACCGGCCUGAGAGGGCGGUCGGUCACACUGACACUGAAUAACGGGUCAGACUCCUACGGGAGGCAGCAGUCGGGAAUUUUGGGCAAUGGGCGCAAGCCUGACCCAGCAACGCCGCGUGAAGGAUGAAG